This 301-nucleotide ribosomal RNA is filed under the name uncultured bacterium. Its description in RNAcentral is "partial 16S ribosomal RNA". It matches the Rfam family "Bacterial small subunit ribosomal RNA", at positions 509 to 807 of the family's 1533-position model. The record is from RNAcentral.
CAGUCGCCGCGGGAAUACGGAGGGGGCUAGCGUUGUUCGGAAUUACUGGGCGUAAAGCGCACGUAGGCGGCUUGGUAAGUUAGAGGUGAAAGCCCGGAGCUCAACUCCGGAAUUGCCUUUAGGACUGCCGAGCUAGUAGGUGAGAGAGGUAAGUGGAAUUCCGAGUGUAGAGGUGAAAUUCGUAGAUAUUCGGAGGAACACCUGUGGCGAAGGCGGCUUACUGGCUCAUUCUAGACGCUGAGGUGCGAAAGCGUGGGGAGCAAACAGGAUUAGAUACCCCAGUAGUCCCUGUCUCUUAUAC